CCCCGACUCCACGGACGGGCGCCGGGGGGCGGCCAGGACGCCGGGGUCCCGCGUCUCUGGGAGCGAGGUUGUCGAGGUUAGAAAGACAUUUAGGGAAAUAUUUGCCAAAGAGAGUCGGGUGGGAUCCAGAUCUCGUCCGUUCCCUAGACAGCCCGCUUGCGCCAACCACCUAACACGUGCCUGGCACUGUUCCAGUUGCUGGGGACACAGUGUGCUUUGUCCCAAGACAGGACUGAGUGAUGAUGCCCGCGGCUGCUCCACGUCGUCGGGCUCAGCUGCAGGCAGCCUUCUCCAGCUUGGAGCCAGACGUCAUCAUCUCCGGAAAGAGUACCUGUGCACGAGUCCCCCUUCAGAUCCCCCUCUGCCACCAGAGCCACGGGGCUCCAGCCUUUCCACUUUAUCCCGACCUGUGAGGGGAGAGGCCAGUGCCG
Molecule: non-coding RNA, 431 nt
Organism: Kogia breviceps (pygmy sperm whale)
Lineage: Eukaryota; Metazoa; Chordata; Mammalia; Artiodactyla; Physeteridae
Source: RefSeq, a predicted model, not a curated record